UAUUGCUUUGUAAAUGGAAUGAUGGUGACCUAAACCCUCACCAGAGUAACAAUUGGAGGGCAAGUCUGGUGCCAGCAGCCGCGGUAAUUCCAGCUCCAAUAGCGUAUAUUAAACUUGUUGCAGUUAAAAAGCUCGUAGUUGAAUUUCUGCGUUAUCGAGUUAUUGACUCUUGUCUUUAAUCGAUUUCGCUUUUGGGAUUUAUCCCUUUUUACUUUGAGAAAAUUAGAGUGUUUCAAGCAGACUUUUGUCUUGAAUACUUCAGCAUGGAAUAAUAGAGUAGGACUUUGGUUCUAUUUUGUUGGUUUUUGAACCUUAGUAAUGGUUAAUAGGAACGGUUGGGGGCAUUCGUAUUUAACUGUCAGAGGUGAAAUUCUUAGAUUUGUUAAAGACGAACUACUGCGAAAGCAUUUGCCAAGGACGUUUCCAUUAAUCAAGAACGAAAGUUAGGGGAUCGAAGACGAUCAGAUACCGUCGUAGUCCUAACCAUAAACUAUGCCGACUAGGGAUGGAGGUCGUCAAUCCGAUCUUUAUUC
RNAcentral lists this ribosomal RNA (533 nucleotides) under Babesia venatorum (nom. ined.). RNAcentral's name for it is "SSU rRNA". It matches the Rfam family "Eukaryotic small subunit ribosomal RNA", at positions 496 to 1086 of the family's 1831-position model. Lineage: Eukaryota; Apicomplexa; Aconoidasida; Piroplasmida; Babesiidae. The record is from RNAcentral.